UUCCUAGCUCAUUCAGUUGGGUGUUUUCCUAUCUCUAAAGACAAGGUAAAAGAGGAGAGUGUUUUAGAAAACCACUUUGAGAGGUCUUUUUGAGAGUGUUCCCAUGUGUAAUAAAGAACACAUAUCCAUGACAUCUCGAUACGUAAUCAAUAUUUAGCAUUUGCUGAUCCUCUCAUCCCUUCUUAUUCUUCCUUGAGAUAAUCCCAGUUCGCUUUGGCUGACUUUAGAGACAAAAGUUAAGUGAAAAUUAAAGAAGAUAAACAAGUUUUUGCCUUUGAUUUUCUGGUUUUUUGUCUUUAUGGUUCUCGAUUUGGGCCAUAGUAUGAUUGUUAGGCAAUGUUUGGCUGUCUCCACAUAUCCAUGACAUCUAGAAACAGUUUCAUCCUUACCGCCCAAAUCUGAUAGUUUUCACCAUUAAAGAAAUGUGUUGCAACUCUAUUGACUUACUAUUAAGGAAGAAUAUGAAAAUCAGGUUAGCCUACCCACAAAACUCAACAGAGUUACGACUCAGAGCUUCCACAGCCUCGUGAUAUCAUUCAUAGACUUACCAAAUGAUAUCCGCCACAAAAUUCUCUUCUUUAACUCUGCAACUUGGUGCGACAGUUCUGUCCCCUGUGCAAGUUUCUGUCUACUGGUAUUAGUGUCCGUAAUGUCAUGGUUAAAGAGGUCCUCGACAAUGAAAAAAAGCAUUUUGCUGAAUCAACUUUCCAAUCACACAAAGAUAACGAUCACAGAUUUGAUCCCCGUCUAGUGCAGGCAAUUUCACUGUGGCCUCGUCCGCCUAGAUAUUGUCAACACAACUUUUAACAACUUAGGAUGAUAAAAGAGUUCUAAAAAAGGGAGCCACGAAGAAUCACUGACUUUGCAUUGCCUAUGAUGCUAUGAUUUGAGUCUUAGCAGGUUUGUCAAGAUUAAUAUAUUUCAUUUUCGUACACACUAACAAUAAAUAAUUAGACGAAUACAAGGUUAAAAAUGCUCAGGCCGAUGAAUCAAGCAGAUAUAACAGAGGAAAACAGAGACGAUAUCUGUUUUUUAUUUAACCAUCAAUUUUCAUGGGAAAACCAACGACGAGAACAGUCUGCCUGUAAACAGUCCAAAUAAACCUGUGGUCGAGGGGGCUUCUCUAAUGGAAGUGCCUGAAAAAUAAAGCAUGAAGAGGCUUCGCUGAGUAUACAUAAAAGAGUAGAAUCGACACAUCAUAAGUACAUUGUAGACGUUAGCAAAAAUAAACAAACUGCAACAUCGAGGUGUAUUAUAAGACGAUUACCAUUGGAACUCCAACUGAUAUUGUCUUGUAUCUGAUAAGAGGAUCUUGAAAUCUUUCAAGAAAUAAUGCCAGCAUAUUUUAUUACUA
Long non-coding RNA from Solanum pennellii, 1354 nucleotides. RefSeq lists it as uncharacterized. Lineage: Eukaryota; Viridiplantae; Streptophyta; Magnoliopsida; Solanales; Solanaceae. The record is from RefSeq and is a predicted model, not a curated record. The transcript is spliced from 2 exons.